GAUGAACGCUGGCGGCGUGCCUAAUACAUGCAAGUCGAGCGAACGGACGAGAAGCUUGCUUCUCUGAUGUUAGCGGCGGACGGGUGAGUAACACGUGGAUACCCUACCUAUAAGACUGGGAUAACUUCGGGACACCGGAGCUAAUACCGGAUAAUAUUUUGAACCGCAUGGUUCAAAAGUGAAAGACGGUCUUGCUGUCACUUAUAGAUGGAUCCGCGCUGCAUUAGCUAGUUGGUAAGGUAACGGCUUACCACGGCAACGAUGCAUAGCCGACCUGAGAGGGUGGUCGGCCACACUGGAACGGAGACGCGGUCCAGACGCCUACGGGAGGCAGCAGUAGGGAAUCUUACGCAAUGGGCGAAAGCCUGACGGAGCAACGCCGCGUGAGUGAUGAAGGUCUUCGGAUCGUAAAACUCUGUUAUUAGGGAAGAACAUAUGUGUAAGUAACUGUGCACAUCUUGACGGUACCUAAUCAGAAAGCCACGGCUAACUACGUG
Molecule: ribosomal RNA, 497 nt
Filed under: uncultured bacterium
Lineage: Bacteria
Description: partial 16S ribosomal RNA
Rfam family: Bacterial small subunit ribosomal RNA
Source: RNAcentral